UGUUGAUAGCAACAAAAUGGCGCUUGUAAAGCCUCGGCGCCUCGAUCGAAGCGAUUAUGCAUUUGCUGAACAGGGUUUACAGACUCAUGUGUUAGAUAUCUUAGGAUCGCGAGAAAAUGAAGUCGAUUUAUUUAGGCCAUCAUUGGCAGACCAACACAAGGUUGGUUUCUUUACGUUGGACAGAUGUUCGCAAACAGAUGUCACAGAGGUCGUCGACCUCAAGCAGAUGACAGAAAUUAUACAAAUACUUCUACAGGAUGUGACAAACCUAAGGAGGGAUAUAAACUUUGCCAAACAUGUGAUGCAGGCUGACUAUGAGAAAAAACUACAAGAGAAAGCUCUGGAGUUAUACUGUCGCAUCAACGACAAGGUAACCCAGCUGGAGAGGAUGCAUGAAGAUAGGGUGGACACUGUACGACGAGCAUUCAGACAGCAGUUGGCUGACGCCAUUGCCCGCAUAUCAGUACUUUACAGUAAAAAUAUGGAAAACAAGAUCCAGCGUGAGAAAUCAAAGCGUGCAAGUGACAAAGACAAACUUGGGGAACAGUACAAAGAGAUGCAGGCCACAAUACAGAGAAGUGAGCAAGUGAUCGCCAUGUUAAAGAUGCAGCUAUCCCACUACCAGCAGCAGCAGCACAACAACAUGGAGACGGAAAGUCCGGCCCCUUCAGACAGACCGUCCAAUCGGACGCCUUCGUCAUAUGUGUCUUCGAAGAAAGAUUCCUCCAAGGCUCCUCACACCCCUCCUGCCCCUCAUACCCCUCAUACCCCUGCACCUCCAACCCCCGGGAUCCCUGUAAUGAUCCCUGUCCCUAGCCCUUCACCUGUACCAACCCAGACAUUACAGCCACCCUCCCCCCACCCUGCUCCCAGGGCACCCCCUACCCCCCGACAAACACCUGUGCCCCAGCCUCCACCAGCACCGGUCACUGUGGUAGAAGAACUGUCCAUCAAGUCCAAGUCUCCAGACAUCAACCCAGAGCUUGAGGACCUACGAGAGGAGGUGAGCGGGAUGUCAAGGAAAAUAAACAAACUGGAAAAAACCAUUGAUACCAAGGAGGAGAACAUCACUGGGCUAAAUCAGGAAAUAGCAAAACUAAAGGAGCUUAUUGAGAACGAGAAAGCAGUGUCGGAGAAGUUUAAAAAGGAGACAGAGGAUAUGAAAGCCAAUGCUGCACAGGAACAGGCCUCAUCAAAAAGACUUGCAGAAGAAAUGGGUUCAGGAAUGGCCAAGCAGAAGGAGGAAAUGAAGAGGAUAAUGGAUGAGAGGAUGAGAGAAGCACGUGAAGAGGCCUUGUUACAAGCACAAGAGGAGGCCAACAAGAUGAAGGAUGCAGAGCAGAACAAACUCCAGAUUUUGCUCGAUCAGAAGAAACGACUCGAGGAGAUGCUGCUAAUGGAAAAGAAGAAAAACAGCCAGAAGUCACAGCAUGAGCUUGACACUGAGAAAUUCAAGAAGAAUGAGGACAGGCUGAGGGAUGAAAUCAAUAGACUCAAAGGAGAAAUAGAAAAAAUCCAUAAAAUUUGGGAGAAGAAAUUUGCCAUCCUUCAGCAGAGUAUGCACGCGCUGAAGGAUGAGAGCUAUAUUCGUCAAACUCUCCAGAGGCAAGCUGCUACCCUUCACCAUGCUUCUGUCAGCUACGCGGCGGACACACCUGUUGGCAUUAUGGCCUCCAGUAAAAACGCCGCCGCCAUGAAGAAACCAGUCAUACCCGAUAUUCACAAAAAAACUGCAGGACAGACACCUAACGUACAAGGGGCUUCGGCUGAUAAAGAUUACAUUUCUUACACAGUAUCCGCCCCUAGUGGACGGGGUACUGCAAUGAUGUCAGUCGACGAGCACCAGGUGAUGUCCGACGGGGAACAUGAACUUCCAUCAGAUAUUGCUCCACUCCCUGAUCCACCAGUAAGGAAAGGACGUCGGUCUCGGCAGAAACAGCAACUGAAGGAGGAUCUAAAUGAGGAGGAGGUGGACAGUCGGCCGACCUCCCAGAGUCACGUCGUUGUGGUACCAUCACAGGCUUAGCUAGAGUAAAGGUGUAUGCAUCUUGUGAGAGACUGGACCAUUCGGGGAAAGGAAAUCAACAUUCCUUUUAAUAAUUAUAUACAGGAUCAAAUUUUCACGCGUUAUCUGGCAUUUUGAGUUAAUCACUUAUAUUUGUAAUCAUUUGAGGAAAACUAAAGAGUUAAGUAAGCAUUAUUCUAAAAACAAUAUCCUCCAACAUGAACUUCGAUUAUAUGUUUAUGACGAUCCUGCUCAGUUACCAGUAUACAUUCCUUUAAGUUAUUGCGAUUUAUUUGAAACAAUCGCCAGAUUGUAGUGCCAACUACGAAAACGUGCAUGCACGAAUAUUGUUUUCUACCAGACAAGUAAAUGUACAGUGUGCAAAUGGAUUGUGUGUGUUGAUCGUCGACAAGAUAUUGGUACAGUGCUAGACACCAUGAUAUUUACUGUAUAUUGGACAUAUUUUGCAAUAACAGUUACCGGCUAAAUGCCGUUUUUCCGUGUGUUGUUGACAAUUGGUAGACAUGUGUUUUGAUACGAUUUAUAAUAUGUGUUGGAAUGGUGCGUUAUUUAACUCGUUUUAAUCCAUUCGAUGUCAAAAGUAACCUUUAAUUUGUUACUGUCGUUUUAAUCCAGGAAAUUUUAUUAUUUAUGGUUUGUAUGAAUUGAAAUCUCCAUUUCAAGGAAAAUGAAGAUAAAGAUUGCAUUGAAUUUAAAACUGCAUUAUUAGCCAAAUAACAUAAAUGUUGUAACUGCGUGUGUAUAUGUACAGUGUAUGCAUGUAUCAUAGUGACCAAAGAACAAUGAUGAAAUACCAUACAGACAAGAAAUACAAUAGAACCUGAACAUUUUUAUCGAAUACGUAAUAAUUAUAACUUUUCAGCAUUUAUGGUGGAUUUUGUUCAUAUAUAAGUGAACAUUAUUCUACAAUUUCCUGUUGAUUUAUUUGAAUGUACAUUUUAAAUGUAAAUAAAAAAGAAAUGUUGUAAUGCCUACAUGCCUAUAGGAUUACCUACUUAUUUUCUUAAAGAAGUAAGGUUUCUCCAGUACAGAUCUGUUCUCGGUCGCCUGUUCGAGGAACAGAAAAUAAAUGAUAUAGCCCCGACGUGGGCGUGGCCAUGAUCGUGGGACAGGUAAAAGCUUGCCAUUUAUUUCACACGUGUGUUAGUAUGCUGGUAUUUAACACUGGGGUUCGUCCGGGGUCCUACAUGGAUGAAACACAUCCAAACGAAAUUAUAUGCGUUUUGGUAUAUUUUUUACCCUUUAUGAAUAGUUUUUGGGGAAAUUAAUUUGUGUAAACAGGUGUGUAUGAGUUGUGUUUGACACUAUCUUUAGCUGUGAUGCCUAGUGUACUGGUUAUAUAAUUAUAUAUAACCUACAGGCUGAUAGUACCCUGGUAUAUGUACACGUUAUUUACUGUACAAUGAUAGUACCCUGGUAUAUGUACACGUUAUUUACUGUACUAUGAUAGUGUAUUGGUUGUUAUAUAAUUAUAUAUAA
RNAcentral lists this unclassified non-coding RNA (3505 nucleotides) under Mizuhopecten yessoensis (Yesso scallop). RNAcentral describes it as "protein enabled homolog, transcript variant X1". Lineage: Eukaryota; Metazoa; Mollusca; Bivalvia; Pectinida; Pectinidae. The record is from RNAcentral.